GCCACGGGCCAUGCCACCUUGAACAAGCCCGAUGUCUGAUCUCAGAAGCUAAGCAGGGCCAGGCCUUGUUAGUACUUGGAUGGGAGACCACCUAGGAAGACCAAGUGCUGUAGGCA
Molecule: ribosomal RNA, 116 nt
Filed under: Pteropus alecto (black flying fox)
Lineage: Eukaryota; Metazoa; Chordata; Mammalia; Chiroptera; Pteropodidae
Source: RNAcentral